Molecule: ribosomal RNA, 305 nt
Filed under: uncultured bacterium
Lineage: Bacteria
Description: bacterial SSU rRNA
Rfam family: Bacterial small subunit ribosomal RNA
Source: RNAcentral
UCCUACGGGACGCAGCAGUAGGGAAUCUUCCACAAUGGGCGAAAGCCUGAUGGAGCAACGCCGCGUGGGUGAAGAAGGUCUUCGGAUCGUAAAACCCUGUUGUUAGAGAAGAAAGUGCGUGAGAGUAACUGUUCACGUUUCGACGGUAUCUAACCAGAAAGCCACGGCUAACUACGGGCCAGCAGCCGCGGUAAUACGUAGGUGGCAAGCGUUAUCCGGAUUUAUUGGGCGUAAAGGGAACGCAGGCGGUCUUUUAAGUCUGAUGUGAAAGCCUUCGGCUUUACCGGAGUAGUGCAUUGGGAACU